This 470-nucleotide ribosomal RNA is filed under the name uncultured soil bacterium. Its description in RNAcentral is "bacterial SSU rRNA". It matches the Rfam family "Bacterial small subunit ribosomal RNA", at positions 26 to 518 of the family's 1533-position model. The record is from RNAcentral.
AGAACGAACGUUGGCGGCGUGGAUUAGGCAUGCAAGUCGGACGAAUCCCGUAGCAAUACGGGGGAAGUGGCGAAAGGGGCAGUAAGGCAUGGGCAACCUGCCCCCAGGUCCGGGAUAGCCGUCCUAACGGACGGGUAAUACCGGGAGACCCGUCGGGGGGACAUCCCCCUGACGGCAAAGGUUCACCGCCUGGGGAGGGCUCAUGUGAUAUUAGCUAGUUGGCGGGUAACGCCCACCGAGGCGAAGAUGUCUAGCAGGUGUGAGAGCACGACCUGCGCCACUGGCACUGGGACACUGGCCAGACUCCUACGGGAGGCUGCAGUCGAGGAUCUUCGGCAAUGGGCGCAAGCCUGACCGAGCGACGCCGCGUGUGCGAUGAAGGCCUUCGGCGUAAAGCACGUGGUCGGGGGGAGAAAGGGCAACCGUUGAUCGACCCCGGAGAAGCACGGCUAAGUCGUGCCAGCAGCCGC